RNAcentral lists this long non-coding RNA (649 nucleotides) under Coffea arabica (coffee). RNAcentral describes it as "long non-coding RNA (CARA_LNC005455)". The record is from RNAcentral. Lineage: Eukaryota; Viridiplantae; Streptophyta; Magnoliopsida; Gentianales; Rubiaceae.
UUGGGGGAAAUUUCUCUUCAAAGGUUGAGUGGUGCCAAUCACAUUAAUUGUGAAGCCCAAUAAUGACCCUUUUGGAGAGGUCACACCUAGACCUAAAUGACGUGAAAAAUGAGUGGAAUGCAUGCCAUGCGAAAGUGUGAGUUUGUGUGAGGUGAGAAAAAUUACAAAAGUAAUAAGAUAAGAGUGAAGGUGUGCAAAUGUAGAUGAAAGCACUCGUGUGCGAGUGAAGAUAAAAUGUUCGUGUGCAAGUGAAGAUAAAAGGGUUCGUGUGCAAGUGGAGACAAAAAAGUGUUCGUGUGCAAGUGAAGGUGAUAAAAAGGUGCAUGUGUGCAAAUGAGACAAAAGUGAAAGUGUAAUGAUAGAGUGGAUUGAGAAUGCAUGAGCCUAGGGAAUUCAUGCAUAUUGGGUACGGGGAGACCUAAAUCGUGACUUGAUUUUCCCUUUGAUUAGAAGGCGAAACUAGCGUGCAAGUGUUUGUGUGCAAGUGUAUGAAAAGGUGCACGUGUGCAAUUGUAUGAAAAUUCCAAGUGUUCGUGUGCAAGUGUAUGAAAUAUAGUGAUAAGUGCAUAUAGGUGUGAUUAAAUGCAAUUUUGUGCAGUAGAAAUCAAAAUGAACAAUAAGGAAAGGAAAAUGUGAAUUGAAAAGAAUG